AUCUUCGCGCUUGGGGCAAUGACGUAGCUAAUGAGGUUAUACCGAGGCGUGUCAAUUGCUGGUUGAAAACUAUUUCCAAACCCCCUCUUCGACUCUCAUGGGUCGUUGAGAAUUUCUGGAAGGGUUCCCUCUUUGAGGGUAAAACC
Molecule: non-coding RNA, 146 nt
Organism: Triticum aestivum (bread wheat)
Lineage: Eukaryota; Viridiplantae; Streptophyta; Magnoliopsida; Poales; Poaceae
Source: Rfam